GGGCAUCACACGCGCACUAUAAAGUCAAAGCGCAGGGCACAGCACCCUGACACACAGCGCAGAGCGGCAGAGAGGAGGCGACAAAACAGCAGCAGCAGGCGGAGGAGGAGAUCGCAGUCUGGCGAUGUGACGGGUCGUCAGCUGUACCAAGUGUUACCGGUGUUUUCUUGGAUUGUGUCUGACUGAAUGUUUGAGCAAGUGUCUGGGAGAGAACACAGUGCAUGCAGUGGUAGAGGGGGACGUGGAUAUUGAAGUGCUUCCUCAUCGCCACGAUUACCAUGUCAGACCAGAACCAGCAGCUUUGGAUACAGCAUGUGAAAUAAUAGAGGCUCAGCGGCUGUGGAUAGAAGAGCUGAGAAAGAGACUGAAGGAGGUCUCAUUGAAGCAGUCAUUUGGGUUGGAGAGGUUUUCGGCAUUGGAUGAAGACAUCAGAUUCUAUACCAGGACUUGUCUCCCCUGCUCCAGUCC
This is a long non-coding RNA of Oreochromis aureus, 468 nucleotides long. The record is from Ensembl. Lineage: Eukaryota; Metazoa; Chordata; Actinopteri; Cichliformes; Cichlidae.